Molecule: ribosomal RNA, 466 nt
Filed under: uncultured bacterium
Lineage: Bacteria
Description: partial 16S ribosomal RNA
Rfam family: Bacterial small subunit ribosomal RNA
Source: RNAcentral
GAUGAACGCUGACAGCAUGCUUAACACAUGCAAGUCAACUUGAAUUUGGGUUUUUAACUUAGGUUUGGGUGGCGGACGGGUGAGUAACGCGUAAAGAACUUGCCUCACAGCUAGGGACAACAUUUGGAAACGAAUGCUAAUACCUAAUAUUAUGAUAAUAGGGCAUCCUAUAAUUAUGAAAGCUAUAAGCGCUGUGAGAGAGCUUUGCGUCCCAUUAGCUAGUUGGAGAGGUAACGGCUCACCAAGGCGAUGAUGGGUAGCCGGCCUGAGAGGGUGAUCGGCCACAAGGGGACUGAGACACGGCCCUUACUCCUACGGGAGGCAGCAGUGGGGAAUAUUGGACAAUGGACCGAGAGUCUGAUCCAGCAAUUCUGUGUGCACGAUGAAGUUUUUCGGAAUGUAAAGUGCUUUCAGUUGGGAAGAAACAAAUGACGGUACCAACAGAAGAAGUGACGGCUAAAUACGU